CAUAGGUUAAUGAGGCGAACCGGGGGAACUGAAACAUCUAAGUACCCCGAGGAAAAGAAAUCAACCGAGAUUCCCCCAGUAGCGGCGAGCGAACGGGGAGGAGCCCAGAGCCUGAAUCAGUGUGUGUGUUAGUGGAAGCGUCUGGAAAGGCGCGCGAUACAGGGUGACAGCCCCGUACACAAAAAUGCACAUGCUGUGAGCUCGAUGAGUAGGGCGGGACACGUGGUAUCCUGUCUGAAUAUGGGGGGACCAUCCUCCAAGGCUAAAUACUCCUGACUGACCGAUAGUGAACCAGUACCGUGAGGGAAAGGCGAAAAGAACCCCGGCGAGGGGAGUGAAAAAGAACCUGAAACCGUGUACGUACAAGCAGUGGGAGCCUCUUAAUGGGGUGACUGCGUACCUUUUGUAUAAUGGGUCAGCGACUUAUAUUCUGUAGCAAGGUUAACCGAAUAGGGGAGCCGAAGGGAAACCGAGUCUUAACUGGGCGUUAAGUUGCAGGGUAUAGACCCGAAACCCGGUGAUCUAGCCAUGGGCAGGUUGAAGGUUGGGUAACACUAACUGGAGGACCGAACCGACUAAUGUUGAAAAAUUAGCGGAUGACUUGUGGCUGGGGGUGAAAGGCCAAUCAAACCGGGAGAUAGCUGGUUCUCCCCGAAAGCUAUUUAGGUAGCGCCUCGUGAAUUCAUCUCCGGGGGUAGAGCACUGUUUCGGCAAGGGGGUCAUCCCGACUUACCAACCCGAUGCAAACUGCGAAUACCGGAGAAUGUUAUCACGGGAGACACACGGCGGGUGCUAACGUCCGUCGUGAAGAGGGAAACAACCCAGACCGCCAGCUAAGGUCCCAAAGUCAUGGUUAAGUGGGAAACGAUGUGGGAAGGCCCAGACAGCCAGGAUGUUGGCUUAGAAGCAGCCAUCAUUUAAAGAAAGCGUAAUAGCUCACUGGUCGAGUCGGCCUGCGCGGAAGAUGUAACGGGGCUAAACCAUGCACCGAAGCUGCGGCAGCGACACUAUGUGUUGUUGGGUAGGGGAGCGUUCUGUAAGCCUGUGAAGGUGGCCUGUGAGGGUUGCUGGAGGUAUCAGAAGUGCGAAUGCUGACAUAAGUAACGAUAAAGCGGGUGAAAAGCCCGCUCGCCGGAAGACCAAGGGUUCCUGUCCAACGUUAAUCGGGGCAGGGUGAGUCGACCCCUAAGGCGAGGCCGAAAGGCGUAGUCGAUGGGAAACAGGUUAAUAUUCCUGUACUUGGUGUUACUGCGAAGGGGGGACGGAGAAGGCUAUGUUGGCCGGGCGACGGUUGUCCCGGUUUAAGCGUGUAGGCUGGUUUUCCAGGCAAAUCCGGAAAACCAAGGCUGAGGCGUGAUGACGAGGCACUACGGUGCUGAAGUGACAAAUGCCCUGCUUCCAGGAAAAGCCUCUAAGCAUCAGGUAACAUCAAAUCGUACCCCAAACCGACACAGGUGGUCAGGUAGAGAAUACCAAGGCGCUUGAGAGAACUCGGGUGAAGGAACUAGGCAAAAUGGUGCCGUAACUUCGGGAGAAGGCACGCUGAUAUGUAGGUGAAGCGACUUGCUCGUGGAGCUGAAAUCAGUCGAAGAUACCAGCUGGCUGCAACUGUUUAUUAAAAACACAGCACUGUGCAAACACGAAAGUGGACGUAUACGGUGUGACGCCUGCCCGGUGCCGGAAGGUUAAUUGAUGGGGUUAGCGGUAACGCGAAGCUCUUGAUCGAAGCCCCGGUAAACGGCGGCCGUAACUAUAACGGUCCUAAGGUAGCGAAAUUCCUUGUCGGGUAAGUUCCGACCUGCACGAAUGGCGUAAUGAUGGCCAGGCUGUCUCCACCCGAGACUCAGUGAAAUUGAACUCGCUGUGAAGAUGCAGUGUACCCGCGGCAAGACGGAAAGACCCCGUGAACCUUUACUAUAGCUUGACACUGAACAUUGAGCCUUGAUGUGUAGGAUAGGUGGGAGGCUUUGAAGUGUGGACGCCAGUCUGCAUGGAGCCGACCUUGAAAUACCACCCUUUAAUGUUUGAUGUUCUAACGUUGGCCCCUAAUCGGGGUUGCGGACAGUGUCUGGUGGGUAGUUUGACUGGGGCGGUCUCCUCCUAAAGAGUAACGGAGGAGCACGAAGGUUGGCUAAUCCUGGUCGGACAUCAGGAGGUUAGUGCAAUGGCAUAAGCCAGCUUGACUGCGAGCGUGACGGCGCGAGCAGGUGCGAAAGCAGGUCAUAGUGAUCC
Molecule: ribosomal RNA, 2232 nt
Filed under: Escherichia coli
Lineage: Bacteria; Pseudomonadati; Pseudomonadota; Gammaproteobacteria; Enterobacterales; Enterobacteriaceae
Description: partial 23S ribosomal RNA
Rfam family: Bacterial large subunit ribosomal RNA
Source: RNAcentral